GCCGGCAGCUAGCUCUCUGCAACUCUCACAUGGUCGCCCACUAAAGCUAAGCAGGGCUGCGCCCGGUCAGUACCUGGAUGGGAGACCACAUGGGAAAGCUAGGUUGCUGCCGGAA
Danio rerio (zebrafish) is the source of this 115-nucleotide non-coding RNA. The record is from Rfam. NCBI's taxonomy places the organism in Eukaryota, Metazoa, Chordata, Actinopteri, Cypriniformes, Danionidae.